GGACAUAGAUAGAAGUUAGGUACGAAAGAGGGGUAUCUGUAGGCGGUGGGUGCGCAAUUGCGUCCAAUUCGGUCUCUAAAAAGCUGAGAUUCAGAAACAGAAACUCUGGAUUCCUCUUACCGUCCUAAGCGACGGUUCAUAUGCCGGUUGGCUUUCAGGUUUUGCCGGAUUUGGAUAUAGACAACUUCAUUUCCUUCAACAAGACAUGGAGAAAGUGUGCUUCUGGUCAAAUUGCUUCCAGUUUCGAGUUUUUUCAUUUCAAGAAGUGCUCGACUGGCGGUUUCUUGUCCUUGGAGACUUUCUUUUGGUUUCCUUUGUUAAUUGCACUUAGUGGUCAGUUUCUCUUUAAUGAACAGAACAAGAGGCGUGAUGCAAAAUUUUUCUGACAUAGGUGUUGGAUCUUUAGUGCACUUGUUCAAUGCAUUACUGAUACAACAUCCAGUCAAAGCUCUUGGCAACACGUCUUCUGGGGAUUAAAGUCUGCAAGGAACCAAUUGAAAGCUACUUAGGUAGUUAUAGAUAAGCCCUUUCUUACUUCAAAUCUCUGCAGACUGUAGUUCUUAGAAAAUGAUUGCUCGCAAUGGGUGCUGGUUUUGAGUGUCAAGAUACAAGGUCACUGAACAAUUUCUACAUAGUGUAGAUGAGGUAGCUUUUUAUCGUGUUGUCAAACCCUUUAGCGACUGUCUUGAGCAUAGGGAUCCUUCCUGUUGGCUACAGCAAUCAUUCUGGUCGGUUCCUACUUCUGUGUUUGGUACCAAUAUGUUUCGCCGUCCUUGUUUUAUCCUGUCCUCCAUGCUUUCUGUCUAUCUUGAAGUUGUGGCAAUGAUAAUGAAUGAGCCCAUCCAUCAAAAUCAUUCUGGUUUUGUUCUCUCAAUUACCUUCACAGAAAAUUAACUGGAGAGUUAGCUGGACCAAGGCAGGCUUGUAUACUUUCUACUAGGGUUCAUCUAGCUUAGAUGUCAUAUAGCGUUUUUGAGACUUAAUACUUUUCGUGAAUAAAGGAGGAGCUUCUUUGUGUUCCACAAGGAGAAUGGAGAGGUACAAGUUAAUCAAGGAAGUUGGUGAUGGAACAUUUGGGAGCGUGUGGCGAGCGAUUAAUAAGCAAUCUGGUGAAGUUGUUGCGAUUAAAAAGAUGAAGAAAAAAUAUUAUUCAUGGGAAGAGUGCGUUAAUCUGAGAGAAGUUAAGUCAUUGCGGAGAAUGAAUCAUCCAAAUAUUGUGAAACUCAAGGAAGUCAUACGGGAAAAUGGCAUAUUGUACUUUGUUUUUGAGUACAUGGAAUGCAACCUUUAUCAACUUAUUAAGGACAGAGAAAAGCUAUUAUCAGAAGCUGAAGUCAGGAAUUGGUGUUUCCAAGUGUUUCAAGGUCUUGCUUACAUGCACCACCGAGGAUAUUUUCACCGUGACUUGAAGCCAGAGAACUUGUUGGUUACGAAGCAUCAAAUUAAAAUCGCUGAUUUUGGUCUUGCUCGAGAAAUCAAUUCACAACCACCCUAUACGGAGUAUGUCUCAACACGGUGGUAUCGGGCCCCAGAGGUGCUGCUUCAGUCAUACCUAUAUGGUUCCAAAGUUGAUAUGUGGGCAAUGGGUGCUAUCAUGGCUGAACUAUUUUCUCUUCGUCCUCUUUUUCCUGGUACAAGUGAAGCAGAUGAGAUCUACAAAAUAUGCAAUAUAAUAGGGAGUCCAACAGAGGACUCCUGGGCUGAUGGCCUUAAUCUUGCAAGUGCUAUUAACUAUCAAUUCCCACAGGUUGGAUUUAUCUAUUUCUCAAUUCCCACAGGUUGUCUAUUUCCUUUGCAUGUGUCUGAGGUUACAUGUUCACUACUGCUUCCAUAAAACUGGAAAUUACUGAUAAAAUUAUUGUUUCUAUGUUGCAUACUUGGGAAUUUUCUAGUCCUUGUUACUUGUUGCUAGGCAUGUUGAACGUAAAUUAUAUUUAGUGUACACACCUAUAGUAGUUUUAAAAUACACUUGUCUUAUUUGACAUUUCAGUCAGUUGGUGUCCACCUUUCUGCACUCAUACCAUCAGCAAGUGAGGAUGCAAUCAACCUUAUCAAGUUGCUUUGUUCUUGGGAUCCAUGCAAGAGGCCUACAGCCACAGAGGCACUUCAACAUCCUUUUUUCCAGAGUUGCUUUUAUUAUGUUCCACCAACCCUUCGUUCCAGAGCACCUGUUUCUAGAACUCCUUCAUCUGCUGGGACAAAGGCCACCUUGGAGCAGCAAUAUGCGCAUCCAGUGGUAUUGUCUAAUUUAAAGGUCUCUCAAAGUUUUCCAUCUCCAAAGUUCAAUGCUUGCUUGAGCACAGGUUGGUAUGAUAUAAUUGGCUUUUGAACUUGUAAGUUGUCUUGCAUAUUGGAUCUAGUAAUUUUUCAUUUAUGUAUUUAUGAUAUGUAUGAUGACUUGCAUUUCUUUUUGCAUUUUUGUACUAAUGUGGAUAUUCUAUGUAUGAGUUGUCAACAAUGCUCUGAGCCUCUGACAUUAUUAUAAAUAUAUCAAAAUUAUUUUUUUGGAUCUCGUUUUAUGCAUUUGCAUACAUAUGAUUUUGUUCUAAUGUUAUUUAGUGCACCAAAAAUUGAAUGGGAAGCUAGUUUAUGAACUAGUUGUCAAAUGCAUUUUAAAAUGUAGGUUGGUUUGGAAUGUAGUAUUUAGAUCCUUAUAUUAUGCUAAUCUUGCAGGUGUACAGCGUAAACUGGACCUGGUUAACCAGGUAAAAAAAUAUUUUAUUUGUGUUGAAUUGUUUAUGACUAUCAAUUAUUAAUUUAUUUUCUUUUUGAAUGAAAAGUGAGAAUUAUGCUCAACAUACUUCGAACUAGGUUUUAGGCCACUUUUACAUCACACAUGCUUUAACUAUGUUAUAGGAAGGUUGGGCAAGUUGGUAAUCUGAGGAGUUCAGAAUGUAUGUAGUACACCCUUUUCGGGUAGCGCAGAAAAUUGGCUGAGUAGUUUCUACAUGUGUCAAUAGUCACCUGCAUAUAAUUUGAUAUAACUAUCUUUUCAUGGUGUAGCUGUUUUUGUAUUUAAUUUGUUAAACCUUCUUCUGAUUGUUCCUUAUUUGGAUGUUUGUGUGCAUCAAAUCCCAUAAUUCCCCUAUUCAUGCAAUCAUUUUAUGUUUCUUACAAGAGUAGAGCCUGGUCACAGCAGUUGCAUUUAAUGGCACCCAAUAGUGCAGACAUACAGAUAAAAAAUCUAAUUGGAAAAUUUCCCUAUUCUCUUGAGGCUCUAAUGCAUUUGUACAAUUAACGUGGGGACAAAAUUAGAGGUCACUGGUGGGAAAAUCAUAGUUGAAUAUAUUGUGCAUGACUGCAGUAUUAGUAAUUCUGAGUUGACUUUUUUAUGAAGGACGCUAGUGGAAAUGAUAAAGCAUUUAAGAGUACUA
Molecule: unclassified non-coding RNA, 3374 nt
Filed under: Hevea brasiliensis (rubber tree)
Lineage: Eukaryota; Viridiplantae; Streptophyta; Magnoliopsida; Malpighiales; Euphorbiaceae
Source: RNAcentral